This 468-nucleotide ribosomal RNA is filed under the name uncultured bacterium. RNAcentral describes it as "partial 16S ribosomal RNA". It matches the Rfam family "Bacterial small subunit ribosomal RNA", at positions 28 to 507 of the family's 1533-position model. The record is from RNAcentral.
GACGAACGCUGGCGGCGUGCUUAACACAUGCAAGUCGAACGGAAAGGCCCUGCUUUUGUGGGGUGCUCGAGUGGCGAACGGGUGAGUAACACGUGAGUAACCUGCCCUUGACUUUGGGAUAACUUCAGGAAACUGGGGCUAAUACCGGAUAGGAGCUCCUGCUGCAUGGUGGGGGUUGGAAAGUUUCGGCGGGUGGGGAUGGACUCGCGGCUUAUCAGCUUGUUGGUGGGGUAGUGGCUUACCAAGGCUUUGACGGGUAGCCGGCCUGAGAGGGUGACCGGCCACAUUGGGACUGAGAUACGGCCCAGACUCCUACGGGAGGCAGCAGUGGGGAAUAUUGCACAAUGGGCGGAAGCCUGAGGCAGCAACGCCGCGUGCGGGAUGACGGCCUUCGGGUUGUAAACCGCUUUCGCCUGUGACGAAGCGUGAGUGACGGUAAUGGGUAAAGAAGCAUCGGCUAACUACGUG